Molecule: ribosomal RNA, 301 nt
Filed under: uncultured bacterium
Lineage: Bacteria
Description: partial 16S ribosomal RNA
Rfam family: Bacterial small subunit ribosomal RNA
Source: RNAcentral
CAGUCGCCGCGGGAAUACGAAGGGUGCAAGCGUUAAUCGGAAUUACUGGGCGUAAAGCGUGCGUAGGCGGUGAGUUAAGUCUGUUGUGAAAGCCCCGGGCUCAACCUGGGAAUGGCAAUGGAUACUGGCGAGCUAGAGUGUGUCAGAGGAUGGUGGAAUUCCCGGUGUAGCGGUGAAAUGCGUAGAGAUCGGGAGGAACAUCAGUGGCGAAGGCGGCCAUCUGGGACAACACUGACGCUGAGGCACGAAAGCGUGGGGAGCAAACAGGAUUAGAUACCCCUGUAGUCCCUGUCUCUUAUAC